Molecule: non-coding RNA, 399 nt
Organism: Myotis daubentonii (Daubenton's bat)
Lineage: Eukaryota; Metazoa; Chordata; Mammalia; Chiroptera; Vespertilionidae
Source: the annotation of a RefSeq genome assembly
AUGGCCUGGAUUCCUCUGUUCCUCGUGCUCCUCUCUCACUGCCCAGGGUCCCUCUCUUUGCCUGUGCUGAUUCAGCCGCCCUCCCUGUCUGCAUCUCCGGGAGCCACAGCCAGUCUCACCUGCACCCUCAGCAGUGGGUUCAGUGUUGGCGAUUACUGGAUAGCCUGGUUCCAGCAGAAGCCUGGGAGCCCUCCCCGGUUUCUCCUGACUUUCAAUUCAGACUUAGAAAAGCAGCAUCGCUCAGGGCUUCCCAGCCGCUUCUCUGGAUCCAAAAACGCCUCGGCCAAUGCGGGGCUGCUGACCAUCUCGGGGCUGCAGCCUGAGGACGAGGCCGACUAUUACUGCGCUACUGAUGAGGGCGGUUGGAGCAGCUACCAAGCCGCACAGCGUCUCAGAUGA